UGCUAAUAUUAUGAAAGGCUGACGUUAUCCUAUGUUUCCUUCAUGCUGAAUACAUUUACAUUCAUGCAGCUGCUUGUGUGAUCAGUAAAACCUACAAACUGAUUCUAAUCAAGUCAUGAUCAUUUUAUAAUAGUGAGC
This is a long non-coding RNA of Sphaeramia orbicularis (orbiculate cardinalfish), 138 nucleotides long. RefSeq lists it as uncharacterized. The record is from RefSeq and is a predicted model, not a curated record. NCBI's taxonomy places the organism in Eukaryota, Metazoa, Chordata, Actinopteri, Kurtiformes, Apogonidae. The transcript is spliced from 3 exons.